This 672-nucleotide ribosomal RNA is filed under the name Colletes simulans. RNAcentral describes it as "eukaryotic LSU rRNA". It matches the Rfam family "Eukaryotic large subunit ribosomal RNA", at positions 408 to 810 of the family's 3401-position model. Lineage: Eukaryota; Metazoa; Arthropoda; Insecta; Hymenoptera; Colletidae. The record is from RNAcentral.
UUCAGGGGUAAACCUGAGAAACCCAAAAGAUCGAAUGGGGAGAUUCAUCGACGACGAAGCUGGCUCCCGUUGGCGUGCGAUUCCCCCGUUGGGACCUCGGUUCCAGAACGCGGGGUACACCCCUUCGGCGAAUAACCGGCGACGUAGUCGUGCACUUCUCCCUUAGUAGAACGUCGCGACCCGUUGUGUGUCGGUCUACGGCCUGGGCUAUUUGCCUGUCGCGGUGGCAUUCGUUCGCUCGCGGCAGAGGCUCGGUCGCCCGGCCGGCUGCACGACGGUACUCCGACGGUAUCGGGCCGCAACCAAUCCAUUCUCGAAUGGUAUAUGCGUCCAGGCCCGUCGCAAGCUCGGACAGCACCCGGAGCGUGUGGACGCAGCGCCCUCCCCGGGUCUGGCCAGCUGUUAGCAGACGGUGUCCUCGGACCGGCCAAGCUUCGAAUUACCGGUCAGCGACGCUAUUGCUUUGGGUACUCUCAGGACCCGUCUUGAAACACGGACCAAGGAGUCUAACAUGUGCGCGAGUCAUUGGGACAUUGAAACCUAAAGGCGAAAUGAAAGUGAAAGUCGUCGUAAGCGUCGACCAAGGGAGGAUGGGCCGCGUCACGUCGCGGCCUCGCACUCCCGGGGCGUCUCGUUCUCGUUGAGAAGAGGCGCACCCAGAGCGUACACGUU